CACUGUACAGCUAUUAUAGCAUUAACCUUUUAAGUUAAAGACUGGGAGGACAUCCCUCUCUGCGGUGA
This 68-nucleotide transfer RNA is filed under the name Piliocolobus badius (western red colobus). Its description in RNAcentral is "tRNA-Lys". The record is from RNAcentral. Lineage: Eukaryota; Metazoa; Chordata; Mammalia; Primates; Cercopithecidae.